RNAcentral lists this ribosomal RNA (528 nucleotides) under Burkholderia sp. EPN229. RNAcentral's name for it is "bacterial SSU rRNA". It matches the Rfam family "Bacterial small subunit ribosomal RNA", at positions 1 to 495 of the family's 1533-position model. Lineage: Bacteria; Pseudomonadati; Pseudomonadota; Betaproteobacteria; Burkholderiales; Burkholderiaceae. The record is from RNAcentral.
CCGGCCAACAGCCAAACCCCGGGCCUUCCCAUUUUUGAGUUGAUCCUGGCUCUAGAUUGAACGCUGGCGGCAUGCCUUACACAUGCAAGUCGAACGGCAGCACGGGGGCAACCCUGGUGGCGAGUGGCGAACGGGUGAGUAAUACAUCGGAACGUGUCCUGGAGUGGGGGAUAGCCCGGCGAAAGCCGGAUUAAUACCGCAUACGCUCUGAAGGAGGAAAGGGGGGGAUCGCAAGACCUCUCGCUCAAGGGGCGGCCGAUGGCAGAUUAGGUAGUUGGUGGGGUAAAGGCCUACCAAGCCGACGAUCUGUAGCUGGUCUGAGAGGACGACCAGCCACACUGGGACUGAGACACGGCCCAGACUCCUACGGGAGGCAGCAGUGGGCGAAUUCUGGACAAUGGGCGCAAGCCUGAUCCAGCAAUGCCGCGUGUGUGAAGAAGGCCUUCGGGUUGUAAAGCACUUUUGUCCGGAAAGAAAACUUCUGUCCUAAUACGGCGGGGGGAUGACGGUACCGGAAGAAUAGCACCG